Molecule: long non-coding RNA, 4213 nt
Filed under: Selaginella moellendorffii
Lineage: Eukaryota; Viridiplantae; Streptophyta; Lycopodiopsida; Selaginellales; Selaginellaceae
Description: long non-coding RNA (SMOE_LNC001122)
Source: RNAcentral
CCAGCCUCUGGAAAUAUAACUUGUUCGUCGACUUUUUCCUCCUCUGUAGAAGCUGGUUGUUCUUCGGUGCUUGGUGUUUCGGUCAACUCUUCCAUGGGAGGUUUGGAAGUCUCGGCUGUUGUCUCAUCCACAUUUUGAUGAGUGGCUUCUGCAGAUGUCUCCACAGGUUCAACAACUUCCUCUUCCGGAGCUUCAACAAGCUCCUCCUCAGCUCGUUCUUCUGGAAAAGUUGUAGCAGCUUCUUCAUCCCCGCCCGUUGCUACAGCUGGUUUGUGUGUUUCAAGAGCUAUUUCCUGCUCCAUCACUUCAACUGGCUCGUCCAUAGCUGUUUCGUUCGGUUGAGCCGGUUCUUGUGUCUCUACAGAAGUAUCCAGCUCGUCAGCCACUGUCUCUUCAACUUUUACAUCGUUUGUUGUUUCCGGAAUCUCCUCCACCACCUUUGGUGCCUUUACUGUUUCUGAGAAAGUGUUUUCCUGGCUAGCCACUGUUUCCUCUUCAUCAACCAGCUCCUUAUUUUCUGUCACUGUUCCGCCAAGCACAGUAUUUCCUUCGUGAUCGGCUGCAACUUCAUCCACCACCAGUGUUUCUAUAGAAGUCUCCAAGUCAUUAGGCAUUGUUUCCUUAGUACUAGUUUCAUGAUCGGCUGCUUCCAUCUCCUUUGGUGUUUCUAAAGAUGCUUGCACGUCAGUUUCCUCGACCUGUUCUUUACUAUCGGAUGUUGUUUCCUUCUCGUCAGCGAUGGCGGUCUGAUCAGACACUGUUUCCUUAACUCCAUCGUCCACUGGUUCCGUUUCCUCCGUGCCUGCAACGACUGCUGGUGUCUCAACACUCGCUCCUGUAUCAUCCUCUGUUUUCUUUUCCUCGUUGCUAGCGUCGUUUUCAUGCGGAGUAACUUCUUCAGAAACUGUUUCUAAAGAUGUUUCUACCGCGUCCGAGAGUGUUUUGUCAUUCGUUUCGUCAUUAUUCCCUUGUUCCUUCUCAGUGUUCCUGGCUCCACUUUCCUCCAUCGCUUCCACCUUAACAUCUUCAUCAGGAACAGUAAGGUCGCGUUCCCCAUCAGGCAAGCUUUGACGCUCAAUAUCCUCUGUUAUUUCAGCUACCGUAUCCACGAUGUCAUCUCCUGGUGUGCCUUCAGUCGCUGAAUCUUCUUGGCCAUGAUCUCCAGAGUUUCUUGCUGCAUCAACAGUUACUGCUUCUUCAACCAUGUCCGACUUUUCUUGCAAAUCACUUCCGUCGCUUGUCGCUGGAAUCGAGGCCAAAGUAUCAACAUCAGCUGCUGCUCCAACUUCUUCUUUCGGACUCGAGUUCUCCGGAUUACCUCCCACUUCCAAUGACGAUGUCCCUUCGGCUACUGUUUCAUUCUCAUGUUGACUACUCUGUUCCUCGAUCUGAUGUUCCAAAUGACUUUCAGGGGACUUCUCUUCGUCAGGGAUCUGGGCAUCACUCUCUGCACGAGGUGCUGCUUGUUCGCUUGUUCCAACUUCGAUGCCACCUUUUCCACUAUCGUGAAAACUUUCAUCAGAAGUGUUCCUGUUCUCAGAUUCCCCGACGACUGAUCCGCUUUCCUCUUCAGUGUUCGCUGGAUUAUCAACCUCGGCCAGACUUGGUUCGUCUAACUUGAGUUGAUCAUUGCUUUGCUGUGGAUCUGUUUCUUCCAGUGACUCUUGUCCACUCCCAUUUUUCGUUGCCUCUGCUACUCGAUCCUCGGCUUCUAGCUUACUUCCAAGAGUCUGAUCUUCGAGAAGAACCUUACCAUCAAGAUCUUCGCUUGAUACGUCCGUUUGUGAACUUGCCUUGUCUUCGUCAACACCAUCUUUCACAACCUCUUGUACCCCGUGCUCGACUGGAGCAGCAUCACGAUCACCUUCUACUGCUGGAUCACCUUUCUCGCUUGCUUUAAUCGUCACGGUUGCUGGUAAAGGUUCCUCCACUGCGUUCAUCUCAGCUCCUUCUCCGUCAUCUUUACUUUCAAGUAACGCUUGACCACCAUUUUCUUCGACUUUAUCCACAAGUUUCUUCUCGUCCAGAGGCUCCACUAAAACAGCCGCCGGAUUCUCUUCCUCAGACUUACCAUCUUCGACAGGCUUUGAUUCUUUUUCUCCAGAUCUAACGCUUAAGUCCUUUUUACUCUGAUCACUGUCUACUCCACUCUUCUCCUUAUCCAAAAAACUAACGCCGCUCAAAGAACUAUUCUCACUCUUGCUUUCUAAAGCUAAGCCUUCGAUGGCGAUGCUCUCUUCGGCAGCCUACGAGAAGAAUGCGAUAGAAAAAUCAAAAUCUUGCCACUAAAAUCUUAUGCUAAAGAUCUCUAAGCCAUACCUGGAUCGCGUCGCUAUUUACUUCCGCAUCAUCUAGGCCCAUGGCAGAGGUAUUCGAUCAAAAACAGCACCACGGAUCGAUCGAUCCUCCAAUGAAAGAACAGAUUCCGCCUCUGCUCCAAGAAUCAAGCCCGGGAUCGCAAAGAUCGAUCGAAACCCGAUGGAUCGCUCGCCAGGCGCCAAGGACAACCUAUCUUAAUCCACUGAGAAGAAAUAAUCACCCUAAAAUCUCAUCAUAUAUCCACAUACACCGCCAACGUCUUGUCUCCUACAAUAUUCCUUCCAGAAAGGAAUCGGAUCAAAAACUUUGGGCGGGAAAAUGCUUGCGUGUCAGGUCCACAUGGCCCAGCAUCUAUCCACAUCACCUUUCUUUUUGGUCGGCACCGUCCAAACUGUCCUCCAGCCUGGCAUGGGCCACACAGGGCUAGCUGUCCAGUCAUUCUUUUCUCUUUUUUCCUGGCCACUAGGUGGAGAAGUUUAAAUGGAGGAUGAUGUGGGCAAUCCAAAAGGUGGCAAAGAUUGGAAUCCAAAUUCUAAAAGAUAUUCACACCGACAUAAAGCUGUCCAAGCUGACGAUGAUUUUUAGAAUAGUUCUUUGGUUGCAUGCAAGCUAGCAUUUAUAUUCCUUCCCACCACAUCGACGAGAAUAAUAUACAGAGCUUAUCAACCAAACACAAUUUUCUUUAUACUAUAUAACUGUAUGUACAGAGCUUCUUAUCCAAACCAUGGAAGCUCUCCGUAGAGAGAGCUGUUUCGCGUUUUCAGUUAUUUCAUAUUGGCUCUGUGUUUUGUCAUGCGAUCAACUGCUUGGUUCUACUUUUGCUGUUUCAUCUGAUAGUUUUGUUUCCGAGGUUGUUUCGUGAUGGGCUGGUUCAACAGAGUCAACGGGCUUGUCUUCCUGAGAUUCUUUCGUAGUUUCAGUUUCGGUUUUGCUUUCAGGUUCGGUUUUGGUUUCAGGUUCUGCUGGCAUCUCAUUCUCGUGCGCUUCCUCUGCAAUUGACUUUGGGUUUGAAGUCAGUUCUUCCACCUUUUCAGGGUCAGCGGCCGUUGACAUUGUACUCUCUUCUUCUUCCUUGGCAGGAACUUCUUCUGCUACAGCUGCUAAAUUCUCCACCUCGGUCGCUUGUGGUUCAUCGUCCAAACUUGGUGCGUUUACUUCCUCCGUUGACUUCUCGCCAAGGUCAACUAUUGUUGUCUGAUCCACACUUUGUUCUGGUGUACUUUGUUCUAGUGUACUAUCUGCUGGUGCUUUCUCAACCUCAUCCGGCGCUGUUUCCACGACUGGAUUCUCAUCAGCUUGUCCCGGCUCUAGGGCCGCUGGUACUUCAUUGUCUUUCGGAGUGGUUUCAAUCUUCUCUGGCUUCUCAACUGGUUCUUGUUCCUCGGCAUUCAGUGGAGUCUCCUCGAGGCUUGGUGGUGUCUCGGUUUUGCCAGGGAUUGGUUCGGGUUCCACGGUUUCAACCUUCGCGGGAUCACCUGUAAUGAGUGGCUGGCUUUCCGGCAUUGCACGGUCUCCGGUUCCAGCUUCUUCAGAUCCGGCUACUUCCAGGCUUGGUGCAUCAAGUUUUUCCAGUGGCUUGAUGUCAGCUUCGGGAGUUUCCGCUGGGUCUUCCACCGCCGCUUCAAUGUUUGCAGCAGGAUUUGAUUCUUCUAUUGAUGCAGCGUCUGUGCUCUCGCCACCUUCUGGGAAUAUAACUUGUUCGCCAACUUUUUCCUCCUCUACCGAAGCUGGUUGUUCUUCUGUGCUUGGUGUUUCAGUAGACUCUUCCGUGGGAGAUUUGGAACUCUCGGCUGUUGUCUCAUCCACAUUUUGAUGCGACACUUCCUUGGGUUCUCCAGGCGUCUCCACGACUCCAGCAGCAUUCUCUUCUGCAGUUCCAACAAGCUUCUCCUCA